GGCCGACUAGUUGAGCUGGUUAGAGCAUCGUGCAAGGCGAAAGUGGGUUCGAUCCCCACGUUGGCCA
RNAcentral lists this transfer RNA (67 nucleotides) under Laccaria bicolor S238N-H82. Its description in RNAcentral is "tRNA-Und (NNN) (tRNA-Und-NNN-3-1)". It matches the Rfam family "tRNA". Rfam says of the family: Transfer RNA (tRNA) molecules are approximately 80 nucleotides in length. Their secondary structure includes four short double-helical elements and three loops (D, anti-codon, and T loops). Further hydrogen bonds mediate the characteristic L-shaped molecular structure. tRNAs have two regions of fundamental functional importance: the anti-codon, which is responsible for specific mRNA codon recognition, and the 3' end, to which the tRNAs corresponding amino acid is attached (by aminoacyl-tRNA synthetases). tRNAs cope with the degeneracy of the genetic code in two manners: having more than one tRNA (with a specific anti-codon) for a particular amino acid; and 'wobble' base-pairing, i.e. permitting non-standard base-pairing at the 3rd anti-codon position. The record is from RNAcentral. Lineage: Eukaryota; Fungi; Basidiomycota; Agaricomycetes; Agaricales; Hydnangiaceae.